This 429-nucleotide ribosomal RNA is filed under the name Pseudomonadota bacterium. RNAcentral's name for it is "Proteobacteria bacterium partial 16S ribosomal RNA". It matches the Rfam family "Bacterial small subunit ribosomal RNA", at positions 355 to 776 of the family's 1533-position model. Lineage: Bacteria; Pseudomonadati; Pseudomonadota. The record is from RNAcentral.
UGGGGAAUAUUGGACAAUGGGCGAAAGCCUGAUCCAGCCAUGCCGCGUGUGUGAAGAAGGUCUUCGGAUUGUAAAGCACUUUAAGUUGGGAGGAAGGGCAGUAAGCGAAUACCUUGCUGUUUUGACGUUACCGACAGAAUAAGCACCGGCUAACUCUGUGCCAGCAGCCGCGGUAAUACAGAGGGUGCAAGCGUUAAUCGGAAUUACUGGGCGUAAAGCGCGCGUAGGUGGUUCGUUAAGUUGAAUGUGAAAGCCCCGGGCUCAACCUGGGAACUGCAUCCAAAACUGGCGAGCUAGAGAAGGGCAGAGGGUGGUGGAAUUUCCGGUGUAGCGGUGAAAUGCGUAGAUAUAGGAAGGAACACCAGUGGCGAAGUCGACCACCUGGGCUCAUACUGACACUGAGGUGCGAAAGCGUGGGGAGCAAACAGG